AUUGAACGCUGGCGGCAUGCCUAACACAUGCAAGUCGAACGGAAUAUGGUAGUUUGCUCCGGGAUGUAGCGGAGGGGGGGUGAACAAUUCCUAAGACUCCCCCUGGUCGGGGGAGAUCACGUCCAAAAACGGGCGAUAACCGCUCAUCCCCCAUGUUGGAGAAGCGGGGGGGUCAACGUACCACUCGCUCUUAGAUGAGCCUAGCUCGGAAUCGGUAGGUGGUGGGGUAAAUGCCUCCCAAGGCGACGAUCUGUAACUGGUCUGAGAGGAUGAUCAGUCACACUGGGACUGAGACACGGUCCAGACUCCUACGGGAGGCAGCAGUGGGGAAUAUUGGACAAUGGGCGAAAGCCUGAUCCAGCCAUGCCGCGUGCGGGAAGAAGGUCUUCGGGUUGUAAAGGACUUUUAGUUGGGAGGAAAGGCAUUUUGUUAAUACAGGACGGUAUUGACGUUACCAUAAGAAUAAGCACCGGCUAACUUCGUG
This 484-nucleotide ribosomal RNA is filed under the name uncultured bacterium. RNAcentral's name for it is "partial 16S ribosomal RNA". It matches the Rfam family "Bacterial small subunit ribosomal RNA", at positions 30 to 507 of the family's 1533-position model. The record is from RNAcentral.